Molecule: long non-coding RNA, 3387 nt
Filed under: Equus caballus (horse)
Lineage: Eukaryota; Metazoa; Chordata; Mammalia; Perissodactyla; Equidae
Description: lncRNA (ENSECAG00000028008.2)
Source: RNAcentral
UGACUCAAGAAACUGCAAAAUUUAGUUUAUCUGCUUCAGGUACAGCUGGAUCUAGGAUUUCAAAUGAUGCCAUCAGGAUUUGGUCCUCCAUCUCUCUGCUUUUCCCUGUGUUGGCUUCACUCUGGAGCAGGCCCUUUCCAAAUUCGGGCAGCUCCAGGCUGACACUCUCCCAGUUCCAAGCCCAGUAGGAGGAAACAUUCAUUUCUCCAAAUGUUUAAACACAGGAUCUGGAAAUGGAACUCCCUGGACUGGUUUGGGUCAUAAGACUACGCCUGAAGCAGUCCCUGUGCGGAGGUGGAGUAGAAGACUCUGAUUGACUAGGUUGGGGUCACAUGCCUGAGACAUGAGCCCCACCCAAACCACAUGGACUGAGAGUGGGGCAGGGAUGGCUUCCCAGGAAUAAAGGCAUUUAGAGAUCAGAAGGAAAAGGAACAGGUGCUGGGUGAGCAAAGAUGACCGUCUGGACCUUGAGCUCCUGGUCCUUUGGACAGUGGGGAGCCAGUGAAGGCUUUAAUUUGGGGACUGAGCAGCCUAGAUCAGAUUUGGGCUUUAGGAGUCGAGAAGGGGGAGCGGAUGGGGGCAGAGAUACUUGUAGGAAGGUGCAAGACCCUUUAAGAGAUCCUGGAGGCCUGAGGCAGAUGGCACGGAGAGGAGGGGAAGAUGCAGAAGAAGCCUGGCUGGGAUGCCCCUGUUGUUACUGGAACGGCUGUUCCAAGGACCAAGACCACGUCACCCUCUUGCUAUGGGCCUGCAGAUGCCAGUGAGAGCGUGGGCUGAGGGCCCAGCCUCCCCUCCCCCCAGAGCCCCAUGACUAACUCUUUCCCUCCAUCUGUUCCCACACUGACUUGCACCCCUCCCGCCCUGGGGUCCCAGGGAAUCUGAUCUCCUGUGGCCCCGGUUGUGGGGCGGUCACCUUGACAUCGGGUGGUGGAUGUGGCGCUGAGAUCCUUCAGCUCUCCCAGCCUCAGCAGCCCAUUCCCCAGUUUCCAACCUCCCACCCCACGCCCUGGGGCCUGGGACAUCCCCCCGCAGGCUCCGGGCCGGGCCAGCUCCUCUCCUGGUGAAAGGAGCCAUUGUGAGGUCAGCCUGGGAGCUGGCAGGCGCUGCGCUGGCACACGUGGCUCCCGGAGGCCCCGGGGUCCGGCGAUUCCUGUCUCUGCUGCUGGGACCUGCCCAGAGAGAAGGGGGCUUUCUGGUACAGCUGUCCAGGUUGUUCACUGCACAAGGGACCCAACCAAGAGAGGCAUGUGAAGGCUAAAAUCUACCUGCUGCUCUGCUCACCAGCUGUAUUCCUGUAGAUCUGUGUCUAUAAAAAGGUACAGCUGAGGGAAGGUGGGCUCUGAGGAGAUGAAAUGGCUUGUCCAAGACCCCACAACUAGGAAGUGACACAGCUGGGAUUCAAACUCAGGACCCAGCCUCUCAGGUCAGCAGUGUGGUGCAAGGCAGAGGCAGGGCUGGGAGGCAGGAGACGGGGCUGCGGUCCCAGCCCUCCAUCUUACUCACCUCUCCUGGCCUCACCUCGUCUCCUCAUCCGGGAGCGGGUGUGUCAAUUAAAGCUCUUUAAAAGCAAGUGACAGAGACCUGCUUUGGCUUAGUGAAGCGAAACAAGAAAAAAGGGGCUGCAUCGGGAGGAUCUGGGGCUGCCCACAGAAUGGGAGGAGGCGCUAAACUAGGCCUCAGAAAGGCCAGAACCCGGGGCCACUCCAGGGAUCCGGGAGCAGGGACCCGUGAACCGCAUCUAAGGCUAGUUCCCUAAAUAAUAACCCAGGCUCUGUUGUCGGAAGAAGAGAGCAUGGCUGCGGCAGCCCCAGACAGCUCCUGUCCACGUCCCACAUCAGUGAGGAGGCGGGCCCACCGGGGCGCCUGAAUCGAGUGAGCUCUGAUGGGGAAGCUCCGUGCAGGCUGCCAAGCAGCCCGAGACGCACGGGAGCAUCGUGUGUCCGUCUGUCCCUCCCAUCCAGGGCAGGGACGCAGGGGGAGCACGCCAGCUUCUCGUCCUGGCUUUGCCACUGACUGGUUAUGUGUCCUUGGGCAAGUCACUCUUCCUCCCGGACCAGAGUUUUGUCAUCUCUCGAAGACAGUGAUCAUCUCUAAGACCAGUCCUCAGCUCACUAAGGUGUUCGCAGCCCAUCCCAGGGGAAUUUGAGAAAUUAAAAGAUGUUCCUGGCAGCAACCACUUCACCUGAGGGAAUGAAUCAUAAAUGAUGGCACUUCAGGCUGCUGUGAAGAAGAUAUCAGGUGACAUCAAGUGGAAAAACACCCCCCUCCCCCAGGAACCCACGCAGGAAGACGGGCAGCGCGGGCACAGCGCCCCCACCUGGGGCUCCAGAACAUCUGCCGUGAGGGGCUGCAGAGAGUCCCUGCUCUGGGGCGAGAGGUUGGUCCCAGUUGAGAUUUCAUUUGCUGGAGGGCUUCCAGGCAGAGGAAACACAGCUGGCCCUCAGGAGACACGGGCCUCUGGACCACGUGUGUCACAGUGCCUUUGUUGAAGGAACACACAGAUUUGUGACAGCAGAUCGAGGCUCUGUGCAAAGAGAACAUCAGUUCUCUCCCGGCCUCAGUGUCUGCAUCUGUCAGAUGGGGAUAAGGUCAUUGUGCCAACCUCAUGGGGCCUUUCUGAGGACCCCCUGGGACAAUAGAGCUGAAAGAAAACCUGAGGACACAGAGGGCCAGGGGCCGAAGAAGGGCUAGAACAUGUGCUCCACAGGGCGGGGCCUGAGUCUGUCCGUGCACUGCUGCGUCCUCCGUGCAACGCGGGCUCCGGCACACAGCAGACGCUCGAAAAUUGUCUGUUGAGGAUGAAUAGCUGACACGCAAUACGGACUUGUGCAGCAAGCCCUGUUCUGAGAGUUUUCCAUGCACGCACGCUUCAUCCUGACAAUAAUACAGAAAACACUUCGCAAAUGCAACAACAAAACUGGCCUCAUCAUCUGUCUCCAAACCUGGCAUCCUCUUCCCCUCCUCCCGGUGGCAGCUCGUGCUGUCACUGAGGACGGGUGCCCCAGACAGAAACUUGGAGUCAUUUUUGACACCCUUCCCUCUCUCCCCUGGACAGUCUCCUCAAGGUCACAGCAGAAACUGUCUCACAGCAAGUUCGUCCAGCUGUCACCCCUGUCAUCUUCCAGAGUUCUAGGGGCCGACUGGGCUCAAAGAGGGGUUCUUGCUCAUGUGGUCGCAAAUAAAAGGUGAAUGGCAUUGGAGUGACCACAGGCUUCCUCACCCCCGUGUCUGGCAGUUGACACUGGUUGUCAACCGGGAUGGCAGCUGGGACUGUUGGCCAGAACAUCCACGCACGGCCUCUUCAUGUACCCUGGGCACAGCAUGGCAGCUGGAUUUCAAGAAUAACUAGCCCCAGAAAUAGAAAGUGGAACCUACCAGACUCUUAAG